GCUGGGAUGGCGAAACCGGAAGACGCGCUAGCCUUAGGAGCUAGUAGGAGUAAUCCUGUGGGAGUUCAAAUCUCCCUCCCAGCA
This 84-nucleotide transfer RNA is filed under the name Candidatus Tagabacteria bacterium RIFCSPLOWO2_01_FULL_42_9. RNAcentral describes it as "tRNA-Leu". It matches the Rfam family "tRNA". From Rfam's summary of the family: Transfer RNA (tRNA) molecules are approximately 80 nucleotides in length. Their secondary structure includes four short double-helical elements and three loops (D, anti-codon, and T loops). Lineage: Bacteria; Candidatus Tagaibacteriota. The record is from RNAcentral.